Non-coding RNA from Gossypium hirsutum (cotton), 115 nucleotides. NCBI's taxonomy places the organism in Eukaryota, Viridiplantae, Streptophyta, Magnoliopsida, Malvales, Malvaceae. The record is from Rfam.
UAUUAAAAAUUUCAUCUAUUUCUAUUGUUAAAAACUGGUGACAGAAUAACCAGAUAGUUACAUGUGGUGUAUAUCGAGUAGUUUUUAAUAGUAGAAAUGGAUGAAAUUUUUAAUA